This is a long non-coding RNA of Leopardus geoffroyi (Geoffroy's cat), 397 nucleotides long. RefSeq lists it as uncharacterized. The record is from RefSeq and is a predicted model, not a curated record. NCBI's taxonomy places the organism in Eukaryota, Metazoa, Chordata, Mammalia, Carnivora, Felidae. The transcript is spliced from 2 exons.
CGACGUUUCCCCCUCCCACUCCAGCACCAAUGAAGCAUCUGUUAUGAACACGCGACUUAACGUAGAGGACACUUGCCACCUGUACGCACUGUUAAGGAAAAAAGGGGAAGUUCAAAAGGCUUUCCAGCAAUGACUACCUGCCCAGGAGAACAUGCUCCUCACGAAGGACCUCCCGCACCCGUCCCCAGAAGAGGAGAAGAGAAAGCACAAGAAGGAGCGCCUGGCGCAGAGCCCCAGCUCCUACAUCAUGGACAGUGGUUUUGUGUGUGGGCUGCUCCACUGUCCUGUACCAACCCACAGGAGGAACAGCCAAGCUUACAGAAGGAUGCUCCUUUAGUACCAAAAUCACCCCGAAUCAUCAUGCAUGGAAACUAUUCCAAUAAACAGAUUUUAGAUU